UACGAACUGUGCAAACGUUAUUCGGAAUCACUGGGCUUAAAGGGUGCGUAGGCGGCUUGUUAAGUAGGGUGUGAAAUCCCCCGGCUCAACCGGGGAAUUGCGCCCUAAACUGGCGAGCUGGAGUGAGAUAGGGGUGUGUGGAACUUCCAGUGGAGCGGUGAAAUGUGUUGAUAUUGGAAGGAACGCCAGUGGCGAAAGCGACACACUGGGUCUCAACUGACGCUGAGGCACGAAAGCUAGGGGAGCAAACAGG
This 253-nucleotide ribosomal RNA is filed under the name uncultured bacterium. Its description in RNAcentral is "partial 16S ribosomal RNA". It matches the Rfam family "Bacterial small subunit ribosomal RNA", at positions 524 to 776 of the family's 1533-position model. The record is from RNAcentral.